UGCACUCCAGACAGCCUUUUAAUUCUCCAAU
Molecule: non-coding RNA, 31 nt
Filed under: Mus musculus (house mouse)
Lineage: Eukaryota; Metazoa; Chordata; Mammalia; Rodentia; Muridae
Source: RNAcentral